Molecule: ribosomal RNA, 497 nt
Filed under: uncultured bacterium
Lineage: Bacteria
Description: partial 16S ribosomal RNA
Rfam family: Bacterial small subunit ribosomal RNA
Source: RNAcentral
GAUGAAUGCUGGCGGCGUGCCUAACACAUGCAAGUCGAGCGAACGGACGAGCCGCUUGCUUCUUUCAUGUUAGCGGCGGACGGGUGAGUAACGCGUGGAUAACCUACCUGUACGACUGGGAUAACUUCGGGAAGCCGGCGCUUAUACCGGAUAAUAUUUUGAACCGCAUGGUUCUAAGGUGAAAGCCGGUCUUCCUGUCCCUUAUCGAUGGAUCCCCGCUGCUUUAGCUAGUUGGUAAGGUACCGGCUUACUAAGGCAACGAUACAUAGCCGACCUAAGAGGGGGCCAGGCCACAUUGGAAGUGAGACACGGCCCAGACUCCUGCGGGAGGGAGCAGUAGGGAACUGGGAGCAAUGGGCGAAAGUCUUAAGCAACCAUGCGGAGUGAGUGAGGAAGGUCCUCGGAUCGUAAAACACUCUUAGCAGUGAAGAACAUAUGUGUAAUUAACUGUGCACAUCUUGACGGUACCCAGGCAAAAAGCCACGGCUAACUUCGUG